This is a non-coding RNA of Oryctolagus cuniculus (rabbit), 809 nucleotides long. The record is from RefSeq and is a predicted model, not a curated record. NCBI's taxonomy places the organism in Eukaryota, Metazoa, Chordata, Mammalia, Lagomorpha, Leporidae.
AAGUAAGCCUGUGCUGUCAGCGACAAGACAUAAUCUUGUCUAAAGAAGCACUUUUUAGGGUAUCCUUACUUGGAGAAUCACGGAAAAAGAAUUGUUAUUACUAUACAUAAAAAGAUAUCUUACUACUAAUAGCUGAAAUGAAAUGUCAAGAAAGACACCAGUUCUGACAACUCUACCUGCUGAUUCUGGUAAGCAGUGACCGUUGUGAAGACAGUUUCUGGAAAGGAGAAGGCCUUCACUCCCUCCCCGGAUGGGACAGGCUUGAUGGGAGAAAGAUCAUCUCCACAGUCUUUACGGAUGACAUGCACUCGAGUUCUAUGCUUUCAAGACUGAGAGGGAUAGAGUGAAGAAAUAGACUCAUCCAAUGGGAUCUCCUACCGGCUGCUGGGAUUCCAUAUUCAGAUUAACAUGAGGAUUCUGCAUGACAUUACACUUGACACACUUAAGUCUGCACAAAACUGACACUAACACCCCGAUCUAUAGCUGAAGACGUUAAGGUCUACAGGAAGCGAGACGCCUCUGAAUCCUCAGGGCUGGACCUGGAAGCUGGGUUCCUUGGCCAUCAUCCCAGCAUGACGUCUGUGUGCCUGCAUCACCACUGGAACAGGCCCAGCAAAGGAAACACAAAGAAGGUUCUCGGCCUGUAGAGGCAUUGAGGUUAACCCCACCUGGCGCUGCAUUUACCACAUGACUCCGAAAAAUAACCGUCCUGGUCCUUUUCUCAAAUUAUUCUAUAUUUUUACCUUAACAUGCUCUUUAAAUAUGAACAUAAAACAGCAAAUGACCAAUUAUUUAAUAAAAACUGUUAA